This 458-nucleotide long non-coding RNA is filed under the name Carica papaya (papaya). RNAcentral describes it as "long non-coding RNA (CPAP_LNC007260)". The record is from RNAcentral. Lineage: Eukaryota; Viridiplantae; Streptophyta; Magnoliopsida; Brassicales; Caricaceae.
CAUAUCAGGAAAUUAAACAAUUUUAUUUGAUGAUAAAAAAUGAGUUGAGUUAAACAUUCUCCAUAUAGCAACAGGGCAUUGCAAGUUAUAUGGAAUGUAUUCAUUGAGGAAACUGCAAAGAGAGGAGAUAACUCACUGGACCAAGGUACUUGAUACAUUGUUGAUGAAGCUUGUGUCGAGGGCAGUGUUCAAGGUUGACUUCUUUUCCUUCUCCUAAAUCCAGCCUACAUUUCCAAAAUCAAAUUACCCAUUUAUCAUUUGAAUGUUCAUGCACAUAUAGACUGAACUGAAUCGAUGAGAAAAUAAAAGAAAAAUCCUGUUGAUAAUUUUUCUUUUUUUCUUUUGUUCAAUAUUACCAGUAGAAAAAUGGUUGUCUGCUGUCACAAUGGAGCCAAGCAACAUAAUAAAAUUGCAGAUUAUGACCGUAUCGAUGGCGAGGAUCAAUCUAUAUGUUAUGG